This 107-nucleotide small nuclear RNA is filed under the name Nannospalax galili (Upper Galilee mountains blind mole rat). The record is from RNAcentral. Lineage: Eukaryota; Metazoa; Chordata; Mammalia; Rodentia; Spalacidae.
GUGCUCGCUUCAGCAGCACAUAUACUAAAAUUGGAAUGAUACAGAGAAGAUUAGCAUGGCCCCUGCACAAAGAUGGCAUGUAAAUUUGUAAAGCAUUCCAUAUUUUU